Molecule: ribosomal RNA, 253 nt
Filed under: uncultured bacterium
Lineage: Bacteria
Description: partial 16S ribosomal RNA
Rfam family: Bacterial small subunit ribosomal RNA
Source: RNAcentral
UACGAAGGGGGCUAGCGUUGUUCGGAAUUACUGGGCGUAAAGCGCACGUAGGCGGACAUUUAAGUCAGGGGUGAAAUCCCAGAGCUCAACUCUGGAACUGCCUUUGAUACUGGAUGUCUUGAGUAUGGAAGAGGUGAGUGGAAUUCCGAGUGUAGAGGUGAAAUUCGUAGAUAUUCGGAGGAACACCAGUGGCGAAGGCGGCUCACUGGUCCAUUACUGACGCUGAGGUGCGAAAGCGUGGGGAGCAAACAGG